Molecule: ribosomal RNA, 200 nt
Filed under: uncultured bacterium
Lineage: Bacteria
Description: partial 16S ribosomal RNA
Rfam family: Bacterial small subunit ribosomal RNA
Source: RNAcentral
GAUGAACGCUAGCGGCAGGCCUAAUACAUGCAAGUCGAACGAUAUUAAGGAGCUUGCUCCUUAAGAAAGUGGCGCACGGGUGCGUAACGCGUAUGCAACCUACCUUGAACAGGGGGAUAGCCCGGGGAAACCCGGAUUAAUACCGCAUAAUAUAAGGAACGGCAUCGUUUUUUAUUGAAGGAUUUAUUGGAUAGAGAUGG